Molecule: ribosomal RNA, 253 nt
Filed under: uncultured bacterium
Lineage: Bacteria
Description: partial 16S ribosomal RNA
Rfam family: Bacterial small subunit ribosomal RNA
Source: RNAcentral
UACAGAGGUGGCAAGCGUUGUUCGGAAUUACUGGGCGUAAAGGGCGCGUAGGCGGUUCGUUAAGUCCUGUGUGAAAUCCCCCGGCUCAACUGGGGAACUGCACAGGAAACUAGCGGGCUUGAGUUCGGGAGAGGGAAGCGGAAUUCCGGGUGUAGCGGUGAAAUGCGUAGAUAUUGGGAGGAACAUCGGUGGCGAAGGCGGCUACCUGGACGGGUACUGACGCUGAUGCGCGAAAGCUAGGGGAGCAAACAGG